AGAGUUUGAUCAUGGCUCAGAACGAACGCUGGCGGCGCGCCUAAUACAUGCAAGUCGAGCGAGAAGACGUAGCAAUACGUUUGUAAAGCGGCGAACGGGUGAGGAAUACAUGGGUAACCUACCCUCGAGUGGGGAAUAACUAGCCGAAAGGUUAGCUAAUACCGCUACGACUCCUGGUCUGCGGAUCAGGAGAGAAAGCGAUACCGUGGGUAUCGCGCCUCUUGGAUGGGCUCAUGUCCUAUCAGCUUGUUGGUGAGGUAACGGCUCACCAAGGCUUCGACGGGUAGCUGGUCUGAGAGGACGAUCAGCCACACUGGCACUGCGACACGGGCCAGACUCCUACGGGAGGCAGCAGUAAGGAAUAUUGCGCAAUGGGCGACAGCCUGACGCAGCGACGCCGCGUGGGGGAUGAAGGUCUUCGGAUUGUAAACCCCUUUCGGCAGGGAAGAUGGAACGGGUAACCGUUCGGACGGUACCUGCAGAAGCAGCCACGGCUAACUUCGUGCCAGCAGCCGCGGUAAUACGAAGGUGGCAAGCGUUGUUCGGAUUUACUGGGCGUACAGGGAGCGUAGGCGGUUGGGUAAGCCCUUCGUGAAAUCUCCGGGCCUAACCCGGAAAGGGCGGAGGGGACUGCUCGGCUAGAGGAUGGGAGAGGAGCGCGGAAUUCCCGGUGUAGCGGUGAAAUGCGUAGAGAUCGGGAGGAAGGCCGGUGGCGAAGGCGGCGCUCUGGAACAUUUCUGACGCUGAGGCUCGAAAGCGUGGGGAGCAAACAGGAUUAGAUACCCUGGUAGUCCACGCCUUAAACGAUGGAUACUA
This 816-nucleotide ribosomal RNA is filed under the name uncultured bacterium. RNAcentral's name for it is "bacterial SSU rRNA". It matches the Rfam family "Bacterial small subunit ribosomal RNA", at positions 8 to 818 of the family's 1533-position model. The record is from RNAcentral.